UGAGCAGUCUGCCCUUCUCUUCGGAAUAAGCGUUGGAAACGACGUCUAAUGCCGAAUACGACCUCCUUUCGCAUGAUCGGAGGUGGAAAGCUCCGGCGGAGAAGGAUGAGCUCGCGGCCUAUCAGCUAGGUUGGGUGGGGGUGAUGGCCCACCAAGGCGACGACGGGUAGCCGGCCUGAGAGGGUGACCGGCCAUACGUGGGACUGAGACACGGCCCAGACCUCCGUACGGGAGCA
Molecule: ribosomal RNA, 236 nt
Filed under: uncultured bacterium
Lineage: Bacteria
Description: partial 16S ribosomal RNA
Rfam family: Bacterial small subunit ribosomal RNA
Source: RNAcentral